GCUGGUGUAGCACAACUGGAAGUGCAACUGACUUGUAAUCAGGAGGUUGUGGGUUCAAUUCCCUCCAUCAGCUCCA
Molecule: transfer RNA, 76 nt
Filed under: Bacteroidales bacterium
Lineage: Bacteria; Pseudomonadati; Bacteroidota; Bacteroidia; Bacteroidales
Description: tRNA-Thr
Rfam family: tRNA
About the family: Transfer RNA (tRNA) molecules are approximately 80 nucleotides in length. Their secondary structure includes four short double-helical elements and three loops (D, anti-codon, and T loops). Further hydrogen bonds mediate the characteristic L-shaped molecular structure. tRNAs have two regions of fundamental functional importance: the anti-codon, which is responsible for specific mRNA codon recognition, and the 3' end, to which the tRNAs corresponding amino acid is attached (by aminoacyl-tRNA synthetases). tRNAs cope with the degeneracy of the genetic code in two manners: having more than one tRNA (with a specific anti-codon) for a particular amino acid; and 'wobble' base-pairing, i.e. permitting non-standard base-pairing at the 3rd anti-codon position.
Source: RNAcentral